CCUACGGGUGGCUGCAGUCGAGAAUCUUCCGCAAUGCACGAAAGUGUGACGGAGCGACGCCGCGUGAUUGAUGAAGUACUUCGGUACGUAAAGAUCUUUUAUAAGGGAGGAAGUUAUUGACGUUACCUUAUGAAUAAGGGGCUCCCAAUCUCGUGCCAGCAGGAGCGGUAAUACGAGAGCCCCGAGCGUUAUCCGGAAUUAUUGGGCGUAAAGGGUGAGUAGGUGGCAUUAUUAGUCGUGAGUGAAAGACCAGUGCUUAACAUUGGGAACGCUUGCGAAACGGUAUUGCUCGAGUAUGUGAGAGGUGUGCGGAACUCAUGGUGUAGGGGUGAAAUCCGUUGAUAUCAUGGGGAACACCAAAGGCGAAGGCAGCACACUGGCACAUCACUGACACUGAAUCACGAAACCCUGGGUAGCGAAUGGGAUUAGAUACCCCAGUAGUC
This 443-nucleotide ribosomal RNA is filed under the name uncultured bacterium. RNAcentral describes it as "bacterial SSU rRNA". It matches the Rfam family "Bacterial small subunit ribosomal RNA", at positions 338 to 795 of the family's 1533-position model. The record is from RNAcentral.